ACCGUGGUACGCAUUCCAGUUCACUUCAGAAACCUCCAGCCGAUUUAUGGUGAAGGAUCCUUCCUUUUCAACCUCACAUUUUACUUCAGCUGGGGAAGGUGUAUAUUGAGGAAUAUUGAAGGAAUCCAUCUUCUCCUCAUCUAUGAGCCCCUGCAUUUAAAAAUGGUUAAUUAAUUUACAUGCAAUUUCAUAUAUAGUUACCACACAGGUGCUGUUGCUGAAUGAUUUGAUCUAUACAAAUUGGCAACAUUAAGGGAUGAAAGAAUUAAAAGCGUACCUCUGAAACCAUAUCAUUGAGAGCCACAGCUAAGAGCUCCCAGAUAUAGCAACAUUCUUUGCUAGAGGGAUCUUCACUUCUUCUUCCUAAAAAUGUUAAAACCAUAGUCCCUCCUCCUAGUAGUUCCUCCGACCGACACCUGAGAAACAUGGAGAAAUCGCUUUGGAAUUGCUCAUAGUAUGCUUUAAGCACGCUUGGUGGGCUCGAACUGGCCAUGUAAAUAUUCCCUUUGUUCUCCAGCCCUCGAGGAACCUGAUGAACAAUUGAAGUUUCUAACUCACUUGCUUUCUUUUUGGUUACUAAUAAAUCAUCAUAAACCAGUAUUUUUAAUUAAAAGCAAAGAGUCACCUGAGACAACCAUUGGAGACUAUAAGAAGAAUGGACAAAAUGGAGACUUUUGCUGGGGAAGAGCCUGCCGUAGAAAGAGCCUGGAACUCCGGUUACAAAACAUGAUUCAGCGCCUGCUCCCAUUGUUUUCUGAAGAUCUUUUUGGAACUUGGGCAAGGAUUUGAAAAUGGUGUUGAAAUCAUUUCCCGGCAGAUCAUUCAAAAACACUUGAAUUUCGGGCAAUUGACGCCCCAUUUUCUUCCCCACCUUGUCCACUGUAGUGACAACUUCCAAGACUGCAAAAAAAGUGUUGGGUCCAGAAGAACAGCCCAAGUCUGCGAUGCAUAGGCUGGCCGGGAAGUUGUUGCAGUAGAGAUUUGUUAUGGCGUCCUCGAUUAUAGGCUUUGUCAAGGAUAUUACUUUUUUCUGCACCAUUAAAGUGGGGAACUUGUCAUAAUUGAAAACUUUUCAUAAAAACGGCAGUAUAUUGUACCUGCAUGAUAAAAACACAAAACCUGGAAGUGGAUGGGUGCUACAGAUCAAUCAGCAUGUCUUGACUAUUCAUUCUUUAAUUUAAGAAAAGGAAACAGUUCGUAUAUAUAAUAUAUGCAUGUCAGCUGAUGCUUAAAUAUUGAAGAAAAUCAAGUUUAGCAAGAGACACACCUGAACUAAUGAGUUUUUUGCGUAACUGGUGUCCCCAUUUCCUCCCUUCAUGCAAAGCACUUGAGCUACUUCCAUCUCUUUCGUCCUACCUCUUCGCUGAUUGCUUCCUCUCAGUUGGAAUGUGGAUUAUGUUGAAGGAGAUGCUCCCCAUUUAUAGAACUUGGGCCACAUCGUCGUGGAAUGAAUUAUUUCAUCUUCUAGGGGCUCUGCUUCCACCGAACCCCAGUGACUCCUGGAAUUGGUGGACUAAUUAUUGUACUGAUCCCACGUGGUCGGCAGUCCUGAGGCCUGACAUCCACCAGAAGAUAGUACGCCACGUGGCAUACUGUCCAUCAAUGACUCGUUUAUCUCCGUUCAUCUCCGCGUGGGCCUAGGCUACCUAUUCAAGUAAUUAGGUCGGCAGCACUUUUGGAAACGGUUACCGGUUCUCAAUUAUUUUUUGAAACAAAAAAUAGAAGUACUUCAAAGGAAUGUGACAUUUUAUGUUUCACGUGAUCGAUGUAAUUCAUUUAUUUGCUUUUCCUAGAAACAUGAAGCGAUUGACAGAUUCCAAAAAUAAUGGUGGUCAUGAAACACGAUGAUGAAUGUAGGACAAGGUGGAGGUGGGUGCACAGGUUGGCCGCUGCCACCUUAGAACAAAUUGGUAUUAGUUAUCACCCACAAAAUAUCGGAGGUAGCCCUGCAGACGUUUGUUAGCUGACGUUUCCAUGCAUGACAGCCUCAUGUUAUUCUUCAAUCUAGUGACAGGUUUCGUCUCCUCUGAUCUUCUUUUUCAAAAUAAUCUGAGCCACACAAACCGAUGUCUGGAAUACAGUGAACUUUAUAAAAAAAGAAAAAAAAUGUAUUUAUAAUAUAUUUCAUGUCUUUAAAAAAUAUUAUUUCUAAAAUUUGAGAUAGUAAAAAUUUAAUAUAUUAUUUUUUUUAUAUAGAUUUUAAAAUUUAUUACUAAGAUAAAUCUCAAAGAACUCCUAUCUUUUACGUGGUCUAUAUUUUAAAAUAUAAAACAAUAAAUAACCUAGUACAACAAAUGAAAUAUGAAAAAUAAGAGUUCUAAUAUGAUUUAAUUUUUCAAUAUAAUCAUCAAAUAAAUAAAAAAAUUAAAAGAUUAUCUUAGAAGGUAAAAUCAAAACAAAGAUGAAAAGAUAAUAAUUUCAAGAAUAUAUGUAUUAAUUAAACUUAACAAAUAAAAAAUAUAACAUAUAAAACUAUAAAAAUUAUUUGAUUUUCAUAUAAAAGAUCAAGUCAAAACAAAUAAUAAUUCUUAUAAAAAUAAAAUUAUUAGAUGAGACUAUUGUCUAAGAAAAUAAUGUUCUUGAAAGGACCUACAAAGAAAAGAGUUAGAACUUAGGUUUAAUUAUUAUUAUUAUUAAUAAUAAAUAAAUGAAUAUGGAAAAACAAAAGUUUUUGUAUGAUUUAAUUUUUCUAUAUUAUUAUUAAAUAAAUAAAUAAAUUUAAAAAUUAUCCAAAAAGCAAAAUAAAAUAAGAAUAAUUUCAAGAAUAUAUAUAUAUAUGAGAAUUCUUGCAAAAAUUAAAAUUAAUACUAAAAAUUAUGAUGAGAACUUUUAACAUAAUAAAGUUCUUGAGAAGAUCAAUGGAGAGAACAGUUAUAAUUUACGGUUUCAUAAAAAAAAGUUAUAGAUAAUAUCUAUAGUUUAAUUAGUUAUAUAUUGAUAAUUUAUAUGCUCAUAUAAUAUUUUAUUUUUGUAAAGUUAAAAUUUUCGCUUACAUGACUGUAUGAUUUUAUAAAAUUUCUUUUUAUUUAAUAAAAGAUUAUAAAUUAAUGUGAUUUCAAGUGAUAAGUCCUCUUAUAUUAAAUAAAAUUAUUAUAGCCUCUUUGUAUUAAAAAGCUAAGGUUGUAUUUGGUUUCCAACAAGUAUUAAUGAAAACAAAAAUUAAAUGCUAAAAAAAUGAUUUUUUUGUUUAUUUGAUUGUUCUAUGGAAAAUAUAAAAGAAAAUCAAUUAUUGUUAAGAUUAAUUAGAAAUUUAUAUAUUUUCAAAUUAUUUAAUCUUUAUAUCGAAAAAAAUAAAAUAAGUGAAAUGGGUUUGAAAUAACAUAUAAAAAUAAUUUUUUAAUUUUAAAUUUAUUUUUAUUAAAAAAUAUGAGAAUUUAUCGGAUUAUGGGAACUUGUGGAUGAUCACCCAUAUUGAUGUCUUUUUAUGACUCCCUAUAAAAGGGAGAUACCUCUAAGGAAAAUUCAUUUUAUUCUUUUCCCACAUUCUAAUUUCUCUUUCUUGUUUUCUUUUUUCACUUUAUAAUUUUACAACACGUAGAAAGAUUUUUCUCUAUUCAGAGAAACAGAAAAACGUUCUCCUUUUCAAAAAAAUAGAAAGAUUCUUCUUUCUUCUUUCUCACAAAAAGGUAUGUAAUAAACUUAUAUUAUGAUUUUCAAUUUUGUUAACCUUUGAUCUCUAUUUUCAUUUAUUUUAUUUGAAUACAUAAAUAUGUAUAAUCCCUAUAACCAGAAGUUAUGCGGUAAAUUAUAAAUUAUGGGGUAAAUUCAUAACCAGAAGUUAUGAAAAAUGUGUGCAAUUCCUAUAACCAGAAGUUAUGGGGAAAAAUUACAGAAUUAUAGAUAUAUGACCAGAAGUUAUGUAUAUGAUCCCUAAUUAUUUAUUUGUAAUUAUUCGAUAUAACUGGAUGUUAUACCAAACAAUAUUAUAUAGCUAGAAGUUAUAAAAUAAAUAAAUAAAUAAAUGUUCAUAGCCUGAAGCUAUGUACAAAUUUACAUAAAAUAAUUCAUAACUUGAAGCUAUAUAUUACUUUGCACAUUUUUGUUAUGAUAAAAUAAUCAUAGCCCGAAACUAUGAAAGAAAAUAUAUAUAUAUUAAAUUUUUAUUUUUAUUUCAUAUUUAUACAUUUUUCCCAUAUUUAUAAUUGAUAGAUUUUAGGUCAUUAUAUUUUUAGAUAUUGUUUACUUGAAAUAUUGUUAAAGCAUUUUAUUAAUAGUUUAUUAUAAUAAUUGAAAUAUUUCUCUGAUUAAUAUUAUAUAUAGUUUUUAGAUAAUGUCAAACUUGUAAAGCUUGAAUUUGUUGCCCUCGAUAUUUCGGGCAAGAACUACUUAUCUUGGGUUCUGGAUGCUCAAAUUCAUCUAGAUGCGAUGAAUCUUGGAAAUACCAUUAAAGAAGGAAAUGACGCAUCUUUGCAGGAUCGCACCAGAGCUUUGAUAUUCCUUUGCCGUCACAUUGAUGAAGGAUUAAAAGGUGAAUACCUUAUGGUUAAAGAUCCUUUCAUCCUUUGGAAUAAUCUAAGGGAACGAUAUGACCACCAAAAGACCGUAAUUCUUCCAAAGGCACGCUAUGAUUGGAUGCACUUGAGAUUACAAGAUUUCAAGUUUGUUAGUGACUACAACUUGGCCUUAUUCAAAAUUAGCUCACAAUUAAAAUUGUGUGGAGAAAAGGUCAUUGAAGAAGAUAUGCUUGAAAAAAUAUUCAAAACUUUUCAUGCCUCGAAUGUGCUCCUGCAACAGUAAUAUCAAGAGCGUUGUUUCACUAAAUAUUCAGAAUUGAUCUCAUGUCUUCUUGCGGCUGAACAAAAUAAUGAGCUAUUAUUGAAAACCCAUCAAUCUCGUCCUAUUGGGUCUAUGUCAUUGCUUGAAGCCAAUGCCACAUGUAUUCAAACCCUUGGACAGGAACAAAGACGUGGAUAUGGACGAGGUUGAGGACGUGGUAAACACAAUUCUUCUCAUCGUAGUGGUUCUCAAAGUAAAAAAGAACAACUCAAAUCACCAAAAGUGGAAUAAUUCAGAGACACAACCUGAAAAGGGGAUAGAACCACAAAGUAAACAUGCUCGUGAGAAUAACUGUCAUAGAUGUGGCAUGAAAGGACAUUGGUCACGUACUUGUCAUACUCCAAAACAUUUUGUUGACCUUUAUCAAGCCUCAAUAAAAGUAAAAGGAAAGGAAGUUGAAAUGUACUUCAUUGAUAGUGAUGGCCCGGUAGAUCCAACCCAUUUAGAUGUUUCAGAUUUCUUUGAGAAUCCUAAUGGGAAAAUUGACCAUCUAAUUGGUGAUGGAAAUGUUUGUUAUAAUUAAAUGUUACGUUCUUAUUUAGUUCCUUGCAAAUAGGUUUAUUUUGUUAUCAUCUUUAAAUACAUUGUUUAUUAUUCAUCUUUUAUAGUCUAUUUCACAUUUUAUUAUUUCUUAUUUAAAUUAUUCUCUUUAUUUAUUCUUGAAGAUACAUGGAUCUUUCUCACACUUUGGUACAUCAUACGACAUCCAAUGUAAAUGCAUGUCUUACAGAUUGUGCCACAACACACACAAUCCUUCGUGAUAAAAAAUAUUUUUCCAACAUAUCAUUGGUUAAGUCUAAUGUUAAUACAAUAUUAGGUCUUGUAGACUUGAUUCAAGGCUUCGGAAGAGCAACUAUUAUUUCACCUAGAGGAACUAAAAUCCACAUUAAUGAUGCCCUUUAUUAUACUAAAUCCAAGCGAAAUCUUCUUAGUUUCAAGGAUAUUCGCCGAAAUGGAUAUCACAUUGAAACUAUGAAUGAUGAUAGUAAUGAAUACCUUCUUAUUACUUCAAUUAUUUCUGGGGAAAAACACCUCUUGAAAAAAGCUUCCUUCUUAUUCUUGUGGGUUAUAUCAAACAAUCAUUAGACCCAUUGAGUCAUAUGCUAUCAUGAACUAAAAGUUCUGUGACUUAAAAACUUCUUGGUCAUCCAGGAUUAUCCAUGAUGUGUCGUAUCAUCAACAAUUCUUUAGGGCAUCCCUUGAAGAACCAGAAUAUUAUGAUGCCCAAUGAUUACAAUUGCGUUGCUUGCUCACAAGGUAAAUUAAUUAUUAAACCAUCAUUUACGAAGGUUGAAUAUGAAUCACCAGCCUUUCUAGAACGCAUUCAAGGUGAUAUUUGUGGACUUAUUCAUCCACCUAGUGGACUUUUUCAUCAUUUUAUGGUUUUAAUUGAUGCAUCAACUCGUUGGUCUCAUGUUUGUUUUCUUUCAACUAGAAAUAUUGCCUUCACCAUAUUACUUGCUCAAAUAAUUUGACUCAAGGCACAAUUCCUUGAUAAUCCUAUUAAGAGGUACAAUUCCCUGAUAAUCCUAUUAAGAGAAUUUGUCUUGAUAAUGUUGGUGAAUUUUUCUCUCAAACAUUUCUUGAUUAUUGUAUGUCGGUUGGUAUUGAUGUUGAAUAUCCUGUUGCUUAUACCCAUACUCAGAAUGGAUUAGCUGAAUCUUAAUUAAGAGUUUGCAACUGAUUGCAAGACCAUUACUCUUAAGAACAAAAUUACUCUUGUCUGCUUGGGGGCAUGAUAUUCUUCAUGCUGUCACUUUAAUUCGAAUUCACCCUACAGCUAAUCACGAUUGCUCACCUUUACAACUUGCUUUAGGCUCCCAACCAAAUGUUUCACAUUUUCAUAUUUUUGGUUGUGAUGUCUAUGUUCCCAUAGCUCCACCUCAACGUUCCAAGUUAGGACCUCAACGUCGAAUUGGUAUAUAUGUUGGUUUUAAUUCUCCCUCCAUUAUCUGUUAUCUUGAACCAGCCACAGGUGAUGUUUUUACUGCCCACUUUGCAGAUUGUCAUUUUGAUGAAAAUGUUUUCACGCCAUUAGGGGGAGACAAGUCAAAAGAAUGGCGAGACAUUACAUGGUAUGUGCCCUCCUUGUCUCAUCUUGAUCCUUGCACAAGACAAUGUGAGUUAAAAAUUCAAAGGAUUGUUCAUUUGCAAGGACUUGCAAAUCAAUUACUUGAGGCUUUCACAGAUAUUAAGAAAAUAAUAAAGUCACAUGUGCCAGUUGUGAACGCCCCAACACAUAUUGAUGUCCCUGAAGGACAAAUGGAGAAUGCCAUAGCAAAUGAAUCUAAGACAUGCCUGAAGCAUGGUAGACCUAUUGGCUCAAAGGAUUUAAUUCCUAGAAAAAGAAAAGGAACAACAUAUGAAAAACUUAGUACUCCUGAAGAGUUCACUAAUAUGAAAGGGUCAAAUGAUGAAACCCAAUCUGACAAACAGUUAGCUCCUGAAGAGGUACAAAUUGAUCAAAUACCGGUAUCUAGAAUUGAAGAGAUCUCAAUGAGUCACACGAGAGAAACAAAGGACUGUAGCAAUAUUAUCAUAUAUAAUAUAUUCGCAUUCCAAGUGGCUAUGGACAUCAUGAGAAAUGAUGAAUAUCAAGAACCACAAGUUGUGAAUGAAUGUCGAAAAAUGAAUGAUUGGCCAAAACGGAAAGAAGCAAUCCAAACAGAGCUAAACUCGUUAACAAAACGAGAGGUAUUUGGACUUGUAGUUCAAACACCUGGAAACAUAAAGCCUAUUGGAUAUAAAUGGGUCUUUGUGAAAAAACGAAAUGAGAAUGAUGAAAUCAUAAGAUAUAAAGUACAACUUGUUGCUCAAGGUUUUUCUCAAAGACCUGGUAUAGACUAUGAGGAAACUAAUUCUCCUAUAAUGGAUGCAAUCACACUUCGAUACUUGAUAAAUUUAAUAGUCUCUGAAGGACUAGAUAUGCAUCUUAUGGAUGUUGUUACAACCUAUUUAUAUGGGUCUAUAGAUAUUGACAUAUAUAUGAAAAUCCUUAAAGGAUUCAAAUUGCCUAAAGCAACUAAUCCAAAACCUCGAAACAUGUACUCAAUCAGACUACAAAGAUCUUUGUACGGAUUAAAGCAAUCCAGACGUAUGUGGUAUAAUUGUUUGAGUGAGUAUUUGUUAAAAGAAUGAUAUGUGAAUAAUUCAAUUUGCCCAUGUGUUUUUAUCAAGAAAUCAAAAUUUGGGCUUACAAUAAUUGCAGUGUAUGUGGAUGAUUUAAACCUUAUAGGAACUCUUGAAGAGCUCACAAAAGCAGCCAAUUAUUUAAAGAAGGAAUUUGAAAUGAAAGACUUGGGGAAAACAAGAUAUUGCCUCGGCCUGCAAAUCGAGCAUUGUUCAAAUGGCAUAUUAGUCUAUCAAUCGAAAUAUACAGAGAAAGUAUUAAAACGAUUUUAUAUGGACAAAUCACAUUCAAUCAAUUCCCCUAUGGUUGUUCAUUUACUUGAAGUGAACAAAAGACCCAUUUCGUCUUAAAGAAGAAAAUGAAGAAUUGCUUGGUCCAGAAGUACCAUAUCUCAGUGCAAUCAGUGCACUAAUGUAUCUUGCAAAUUGUACUAGACCAGACAUAACAUUUUCUAUCAACUUACUAGCAAGAUACAAUUCUGCCCCAACUAAAAGGCAUUGGAAUGUGAUUAAACAUAUAUUACGAUACCUUCGUGGAACAAGUGACAUGAGUUUAUAUUAUUCAAAAGAAUCAAAAUCACAAUUGAUUGGGUAUGCAGAUGUAGGGUAUCUUUCAUAUCUUCAUAAAGCUUGAUCUCAAAUGGGAUAUGUCUUUACUUAUGGUGGGACGUUAAUAUCUUGGAGAUCAGUCAAGCAAACACUGGUAGCCACAUCUUCAAAUCAUUUAGAAAUUCUUGCAAUUCAUGAAGCAAGUCGUGAAUGCGUAUGACUAAGGUCAAUGAUCCAACAUAUACAAGAAACAUGUGGACUACUUUCCAUCAGAGGCAAUGCAUCUAUGUUACAUGAAGAUAAUGCUGCUUGUAUUGCACAAAUUAAAGGAGGAUUCAUAAAAGGUGACAGAACUAAGCAUAUCUCCCCUAAAUUAUUCUAUACUCAUAAGCUCCAAAAGAAAAAUGAGAUUGAUGUUCAACAAAUUUGAUUAUGCAAUAAUCUAGCAGAUCUAUUCACAAAGGCGUUACUUUCGACCACAUUGAAAAAGUUAAGGUAUGACAUUGGAAUGCAAAGACUAAGAGAUCUACCAUUUAAAAUGUUGAAGAAAUCAUAAUCAUGUUUACAUGAGAGGAAGAAUGCUAAUAUGGAUAUAUUGCACUAUUUUUUCCUUCGUCCAAGUUUUGUCCCAUUGGGUUUUACUGACAAGGUUUUUAAUGAGGCAGUUACCAUAUUCUUAUGAUCAUCCAAGGGGGAGUGUUAGGAAAUAUGAAAAUUUAUCGGAUUAUGGGAACUUGUGGAUUAUCAUCUAUAUUGAUGUAUAUCUCUUUGUGAUUCCUUGUAAAAGGGAGAUACCUCUAAUGAAAAUCCAUUCUAUUUUCUUCCUACAUUCUAAUUUUUCUUUCUUGUUUUCUUCUUUCACUUUAUAAUUUUACAACAAUUUUUUAUUUUCUUUACUUUUUCUUUUAAUCCACUAAAAACUCUCUAUUUUCUUUCUUUCACAUUUCCCACAAAAUUUUCGGUAACUAAACAUAGCCUAAGAAAAUCAUUCAUAUUAUUUUUAAAUAUUUUUAUUAUGCUACAUGUUGUUGCAAUUCUACUUUUUAAAUAAAAAUUAUUUUUGAAAGUGUUUAUAAGGUUUAGAGUAGAAAAUAAUUAUUUAACUUACAAAUAUAUUUGACAAUUAUUUAUUUAUUUAUUGAAAAUAGCUUUUUGAGAAAUAUUUGUUCUCAAAAUUGUGUGAUGUUUUAAAACAAAUUUAAAGUGUUUAUGAAUUGAUUAGAAAAAUAAUUGAAAAUAUGGAGAAGAUUUUGAAAAACAAAGAAUAAAGUGAGAAAAUUAAUAAUUUUUAUAUUUAGAAUAAGAACCUUCUUUAUUGGAACUCUUGGCAUUCUCCAAAUUAUUAAUUUGGGAGGUCUCUCCACUCUAUUUCAUCCAAAUUACCAACCCAUUCACUCAUUUAGAGUUUUUUCUUAUGUUAAAUUCAACGUCAUGUAUAAAUACUUGUAUUUGAAUUGUCCGAGUAUCAUAUAUGGCAACCUUUUUUCUUUCAACUACUAUAAAAUUAAUUUAACUUUUUAUGAAUAUGCUUAAAAUAUUGGCUUGAACACAAAACAGUGAUAUCUAAGGCAAAGCACAGAGCAGAGGAAGCCAUAACCAAUCUCUAUUGUAGCAUCUUGCCACAAUGCUUAGGCAUAGCUGAGUUGGGUUGUUCUUCUGGACCCAAUGCUCUUUUUGUCGUCCAAGAACUUGUGAUCACAACCUACAAAGUCUAUCAGAAACUAGGUCGUCAGUAGCCGGAAAUUCAAGUGUUCCUCAAUGAUCUUCCAGGAAAUGAUUUCAACACUCAUUAAAACCGUCACAAAAUUUCAACAAAAUUUGUCACAAGAGAUGGGCAAUGGUGUUAGACCAUGCUUUUCCAUGGGACUUCUGGGUUCUUUCUAUUACAAACAUUUCCUUAGCCGAAGUCUACAUUUUGCCCAUUCUUCUUACAGCCUGCAUUGGCUGUCUCAGGUGACCAAGUAUUUGUCCUUUUACAGCUACAAUAAUAUAUUGACAAAGAAGGAACCAUGAAAUUUAUUUGGAGUACAAUUGUUUAUUAGGUUCCUCCAGGUUUAGAGGACAAUAAAGGUAAUAUUUUCAUGUCAAGUUCAAGCCCACCAAGCGCACUUAAGGCUUACUAUGCACAGUUCCAAUAGGAUUUUUCGGUGUUCCUCAAGCAUCGCUCAGAGGAAAUAGUUGGAGGGCGUAUGGUCGUCACAAUCAUAUGGGGAGAAGAAGUGAAGAGCCUACCAGUAAAGAGUGUUGUUACAAUUGGGAGCUUUCGGCUUUGGCUCUCAGGGAUAUGGUCUCAGAGGUAUACAUUACCGUAUUUAAGCUCCUUCAUGUUGUUUCAGUCCAAUGCUGCCAAUUUGUACUUCAUCAUUAAGGAAUAAGGAAUAACUCUUCUUGUGGUAACAAAGAAAUUGCUUAUAAACAAUGCAGGGGCUCAUAGAAGAAGAAAAAUUGGAUUCCUUCAACAUUCCUCAAUGUACGCCAUCUCCUACGUACUGGAAUGAAGCUUGAGAUUGAAGAGGAAGGAUCAUUUGUCAUAGACCGGCUAGAAGUUUUUGAAGUGGACUGGGAUUAUUACGAGAGUGGUGGUCCUUGUAAUGCUGCAAAGGGUAUUAGAGCGGUGGCAAAAUGAAUGUUUGCUGCUCACUUUGGGAGUGGAAUCAUAGAAGAGGUGUUCCGCAGACACACGGAGAGAUUGUUGUUAAUCGCAAUUCCAAAUAGAAGCCUCAGUAUGUCAAUUUGGUUGUUUCCAUGACUGUAAGUGGAUGAUCAAAGUGAACGUUGUCUUUAAUUAUCAUCAAUUUUAAUGUUGCCUUAAAUUUCAAUAAGUAGAAAGAUUCAUAUAAGAUUGGGUAUUUAGAUGAUGAUGAUCAAUUGUCGAACGCAUUGAAUAAAUGUUUGAGUAAAUAGAACUUUUAUUCUGUUGAAGAAAAUACUAAAUAUCUUCAUGAUACUUUUAUUGCAUGCUUGGAUGAUAUAAAUGAAUUUAAAAUUCAGAGUACAUUUAUUGUAUCCCUUAAUUUGAAUGCUUAAGUCCUCAACUAUGUACUUCAAAGAAUAAGGAAGAGAAAAAGAGAGUAUCAUAAUUUUAUGGAGUAAUGACGCCAAGGGUAUUUGCUUUUCUCAUUUGAUUUGUCAUUGUCUAUUUAAAAUACAUUUGUUUCUAUGAUUUAGGGGAUUGAUCAUGGUUUGGUUAAAUCAUCAACACAACAAUGGGAUUGCAACACUAGAAUGGGCUCCAUGCCUUAAUCCCUAUGCUGACUGUGUGAGGGUGCCUUACUCCAUAUGUUGACGAUGCGAGGACGUUUUUCUUUUUUAAUGCUUCUACCUAGAAAUAACAAUAAUAUAACCAUAUUCUACAUUAUAAUAAUUGUUGUCUCAAUGUGAUAUAUAUCUUUGUGUAUCGUUUUAAAACUAACCAUUUUUUUAUAUUUCAGACAGACAUGAAAUUCUAAUUAUAUGGUAAUUGAGCAUGUUAAAAAUUUAGAGUGUAGUUAUUUAUAAAAAUUGAUCUACCUAUAAAUAAAUAAAGGAGUGAAUAAAAAAAAUAAAAAAUAAAAUUGAUCAUCUCCACGUUUUUCUUUUUUAAAUUUUCAUUACCUACAAAUGGGAAUUAAAAAAAUACAAAAAGUUCCUUGAGAUUUUUAAAAUUUGGUUGAAUAUAGGAUUCCCAUUAGGAUGCUGACAAACCAACAUAUGCUAAAGACAACUACACUUUCAUCGUCUAGAUUUAAUAAUAUGUUUGACAACAAAACAUCUUGUCACAAAGGGGGAAUCUACACAAAUUGGAUGGAUACUUGAUCAUGGAAAGCUUAUUUUAGUGAGGCUUACACGCACGUUCUGAAAUAUAAGAGUAAUAAAAUAAGCAAGGCAACAGUAGAUAAACGUGACCAAUGAAGCAGCCGCCAUGUUGACUGUUGGAUGAAGCAGCUUGCCCUGUUGAGUGUUGGUCAUCCACGCUUAGUCAUGGAAACCGUGACAUUUACGAAUUCAGUCUUCUCUCUGGUCAUGCGAUCAGCAACAAUCUUUUUGUACCUGCUGAACACUUCCUCUAUUAUUCCAUCACCGAAGUGGCUUACAAGCAAUGGCUCUGCAACUGCUCUCAUCAACUUGGCCACGUUGUAUCCACCAUCUUUAUGAGCAUCUGAUGGGCAGAAUUCACCGUGGUACGCAUUCCAGUUCACUUCAGAAACCUCCAGCCGAUUUAUGGUGAAGGAUCCUUCCUUUUCAACCUCACAUUUUACUUCAGCUGGGGAAGGUGUAUAUUGAGGAAUAUUGAAGGAAUCCAUCUUCUCCUCAUCUAUGAGCCCCUGCAUUUAAAAAUGGUUAAUUAAUUUACAUGCAAUUUCAUAUAUAGUUACCACACAGGUGCUGUUGCUGAAUGAUUUGAUCUAUACAAAUUGGCAACAUUAAGGGAUGAAAGAAUUAAAACUGUACCUCUGAAACCAUAUCAUUGAGAGCCACAGCUAAGAGCUCCCAGAUAUAGCAACAUUCUUUGCUAGAGGGAUCUUCACUUCUUCUUCCUAAAAAUGUUAAAACCAUAGUCCCUCCUCCUAGUAGUUCCUCCGACCGACACCUGAGAAACAUGGAGAAAUCGCUUUGGAAUUGCUCAUAGUAUGCUUUAAGCACGCUUGGUGGGCUCGAACUGGCCAUGUAAAUAUUCCCUUUGUUCUCCAGCCCUCGAGGAACCUGACGAACAAUUGAAGUUUCUAACUCACUUGCUUUCUUUUUGGUUACUAAUAAAUCAUCAUAAACCAGUAUUUUUAAUUAAAAGCAAAGAGUCACCUGAGACAACCAUUGGAGACUGUAAGAAGAAUGGACAAAAUGAAGACUUUUGCUGGGGAAGAGCCUGCAGUAGAAAGAGCCUGGAACUCCGGUUACAAAACAUGAUUCAGCGCCUGCUCCCAUUGUUUUCUGAAGAUCUUUCUGGAACUUGGGCAAGGAUUUGAAAAUGGUGUUGAAAUCAUUUCCCGGCAGAUCAUUCAAAAACACUUGAAUUUCGGGCAAUUGACGCCCCAUUUUCUUCCCCACCUUGUCCACUGUAGUGACAACUUCCAAGACUGCAAAAAAAGUGUUGGGUCCAGAAGAACAGCCCAAGUCUGCGAUGCAUAGGCUGGCCGGGAAGUUGUUGCAGUAGAGAUUUGUUAUGGCGUCCUCGAUUAUAGGCUUUGUCAAGGAUAUUACUUUUUUCUGCACCAUUAAAGUGGAACUUGUCAUAAUUGAAAACUUUUCAGAAAAACGGCAGUAUAUUGUACCUGCGUGAUAAAAACACAAAAUCUGGAAGUGCAUGGGUGCUACAGAUCAAUCAGCAUGUCUUGACUAUUCAUUCUUUAAUUUAAGAAAAGGAAACAGUGCAUAUAUAUAAUAUAUACAUGUCAGCUGAUGCUUAAAUAUCGAAGAAGAAUUAAAUUUAGCAAGAGACACACCUGAACUAAUGAGUUUUCUGCGUAACUGGUGUCCCCAUUUCCUCCCUUCAUGCAAAGCACUUGAGCUACUUCCAUCUCUUUCUUCCUGCCUCUUCGCUGAUUGCUUCCUCUCAGUUGGAAUGUGGAUUAUGUUGAAGGAGAUGCUCCCCAUUUAUAGAACUUGGAGCCACAUCUUAGUGGAAUUAAUUUUUUCAUCUUCUAUGGGCUCUACUUCCACCGAACCCCCGAUUGGCACUAGUGGAACUGAUAAUUCAGGAUUGAUGUCACAUUGUGGGUAGUCCUGAGUCCUGACGUCCACUAGAAGAUAGCACGCCACAUGCUGUCCACUAAUAUCCGGGUGGGUCCAUGCUACCUAUUCAAAUAUCUAGGUCGGCAACACUUCUGGGAAGAACUCUACAAAAUAAAAAUAGAAAUACUUUAAAAUCAUUCUAAAAAAUAAUCUAUUUUUAAAUACAAAAUCAUUAAAAUAGACUAAAACUUAAACCUAAAAGAUUCGAUUCAUAAUUUAUAUCAUACACUUUCUCGUACCAAACAUAUGGUAAACCUUAUUGGCUAGAUGAGGGCGAAUCUGCCUAUGAGAGUGAUUUUUUUUUUUUUUCAAUAUUUCUCCAUUUUAAAAUUUUUUUUCAUACAUUUUUAUGAUUUAUUUUAUCAUUUGUUAAAGUGGUAAGCAAUCAUUAAAUACACAAAAUAAUUUUUUAUUUUAUUUAUUUAUAUUAUAUCUUCAACUUUAAGAGUGAAUUACUUUAACAAAGGAUAAAAUUAAGAACAACCCAUAAUAAGUACAAGGACAUGAGUCUACUUUAUUUUAACAUUGAUGCCUCAGUUCUAGUAUGAACAUUAGACCAUGUCUCAGGGAAAAAGUCUAAACCUUGUUCUCACCGAGAAAAGUAAAAGGGGGAAAGUGUGAGAAAGGGUGAGAAAGUGUAAAACUGAUGCAGCUUUUUGCAGGUGUCUGCGACAACAUGAGAGACUUAUUGCAUUGAGUUUUGUUCUAAUUGGCUAGAUAUGCCAUCAUUUCCCCUCCCCCCCCUUCAAAAGAAUGUCACAUUUUAUGUUUCACGUGAAUCAUAUCUGCUAAUAAUUUGAGGCGGGUGUUUUAUUUAUUUCCUUUUCCUACACCUACGAAACUUCAAGUGCAUGAUUGACAGAUUUCAAAAAUAAUACUACUAACAUGGACAUGUGGGCAUGAAACACGAUGAUGGAAGUAGGACAAGGUCAAGGUUGGCGCAUGGGUUGGCCGCAGCUACCUUAAAACAAAUUGGUAUUAGUUAUCGGCCACAGAAUAUUGGAGGUACCACAGGAGCAUGACGCUUUCUGAACAACCCUGCAGGCGUUUGUUAGCUGACGUUUCCAUGCAUGACACCAUCUGCCUCAUUUUUUCUUCAAUCUAAUGUGAAGUUUGUCUCCUCUUAUCUUCUUUUUCAAAAUAAUAUCCAUUCAAAUAUGCCAACCAAGUCAAUUUUAGUUGAAAAAUAGCUAUCUGCAAAAAGUUGUGACCGUGGAGGAAAGACGUAACUGAUCUACCACAUGAUGAACUAGUUAAGAUCCCAUGAAUAUUAAGUCAACGGUUUGGUUGGUAUCACAAAGAACAGAUCUUAUCACUAAAAUUAGAUUUUUUUUUUUUUUUUCACACUAAAUGGCCAAGAGUUGGUUUGGAAGGGGAUCUUGGUAAAGUGUUUUUAGUUUUCAACACUUAUAAGUAGAAUCAGUUAGUGUAGUAAUAUUUUUAAUUAUGUGUUGUAUAACAAAAAUUCAUUUUUGAAAUAUGAUUAAAUGUUUCUUUGGAUACACUCUUAUUUUUUGUUUUCAUGUUGAAGACACCAAAAAAACUAACUUUUGGCAAGACCCAUGAAAUUCAAAGUUCAUUCAUUGGAAAGGAUCCGCCCAGAUCUGGUUCCAAAACAAUGGUAAAUUUAUCACUUUUUUUCAUUGACCAUAUCAAAGUGUAAUACCCCAAACCCUAAAUAAAAUCAUAAUUCAAAAAACUCUUUUACAUAGAGAUGAGAAAUAUCAAAGAACAUAGAACUGAAGAUUUGGAGGUUUAGGGUUUGAGGAUCAAUUUUUUCGGGUAAGAUUUUUAAUCCUUAAAUUAAUAUUCUAUAUUCAUUAAUUAGUUUUAAACACUUUAGAUAUUCUUUACAAUAUCUCAAUUUUGAUUAGAGUUCGUUUAAUUAAUUUAUAAGUCAAAAAGAUUAAAAAAUUAUAAACAUAGUUUGAUUUAUUAAUGGAGAUGGACAAAUUUUGAUCACUCAAAUGAAUAGAUCUAGAAAAAAAAUAUAAUAAAUAAAAAAAAUAAGAGUAGUGUGAUUUUCUAGAACAGUGAAGAAAAAAUUAUAAUUAUAAUAAUAUAGAUGUGUGUCGUGUAGUAGAGGGUUUAAAAGAAAAAAAAAAAAAAAAAAAGAAUGCGUGUGUACAUCUAGGAAAUGAAGAAAUAAAAGAAGAAGAAAAAACAAGUGUUAUUAUUAUAAUAAUAAUAAUGGGCGUAGUUGGUGGCUUGGAGUAACGGUGUUGUAGGGUUUUGAAAAGUAAUAUUAAUAUUAAUAAUAUAUAUAUAUAUAUAUAUAUAUAUAUAUAUAUAUAUAUAUAUAUAUAUAUAUAUAUAACACAUUAAGACUAACAUGCCGAGAAAUGUAUAUUUUAGCAAAUAACAUGUUAAGACAUGUCAUUAAGUUGUAUUUAUAAAAAUUGAUGUACCUAUAAAUAAAUAAAGGAGUGAAUAAAAAAAAAAAAUUGAUCAUCUCCACGUUUUUCUUUUUAAAAUUUUCAUUACCUACAAAUGGGAAUAAAAAAAUACAAAAAGUUCCUUGAGAUUUUUAAAAUUUGGUUGAAUAUAGGAUUCCCAUUAGGAUGCAAACAUAUGCUAAAGACAACUACACUUUCAAUAUCGUCUAGAUUUAAUAAUAUGUUUGACAAUAAAACAUCGUGUCACAAAGGGGGAAUCUACACAAAUUGGAUGGAUACUUGAUCAUGGAAAGCUUAUUUUAGUGAGGCUUACACGCACGUUCUGAAAUAUAAGAGUAAUAUAUAUAUAUAUAAUGUAUAUAUAACGUAUAACAUGUGUUCUAAUAAUAGUAAUAAUAAUGGGCGUUGGCUUGGAGUAAUGGUGUGCCAGGUCUUUAAAAGUAAUAUUAAUAUUAAUAAUAUAUAUAUAUAAUGUGUGUAGUUGGUUAAGUGAAAGUUGGAUUAUGGGAAUAAUAAUAAUAAUAAUAAUAAUAGUUUUAUGUAUAGGUUUUAAUUUAAUUUAAGUAUAUAAAGAAAUAAAUAGUGAGGGUAAGAUUAGGAAAGAAAAUGAAUUUUACAAUAAUUUGAAAACUCUGUAAAUUAAUUUAUUAUUGUUUAGCAAGUUGAAAAUAAUAUUGGGUAGUAAUAAUAUUAGCAUGAGAAAUUAAUUAGAAUCCCUAAUACUAAAUAAAAUAUUUUUAGGAUUGUGAAAUUUUUACCUUUAGAUAAUUGUGUAUGAUAUUAUGUUAGGUGAUGAGUAAAUUCGUUCAGCUAAGUACUUCAAGUUUUUGAGCACUUCUUCAAGGUAAGGGAAAUUAAUGCAAAUUUUUAUAAAAGAAAAUAAUUUUCUUUUUAUAUUGUAUUUUGAAAUGUGUAAAAAUAUUAUUUUUAUCUUUAUGCAUGAAUCAAAUAUGUGUUUUGUAUGAAAUGUAUAUUUGAACAUUUUCUUUGUUUAUAAAAAAUGAAAAAUUUAGGAGAUAUGAUGUUUUGUUUUGUAAGUUUGAAUUAAUGAUAUAAAGUGUUUGACUUUACAUUAUAUGACUCUAGUCAACGGGUUAUAAGUUCCCAGAUGAGGUCCCAACAUCAACAGUAGAGGCAACGAGGCUAGUAGUAUUAGAGACAUUCUUCAUUCUACGCUAGAGGUGAGUAGGGUGCUCAGAGGGCGGCUAUUGCUAAAGUAUGUUAUGGUUGUGGGGUAGGAGAUCAUUUAUGGAGGGCUUGCCCAUUAAGGGGUGCACGACAAGCUCAAUUUAAGCCAUAAAGAGGUCCUCAGCAACAACCAAUAUUGCAUUUCCAGCCUCCUCAAUUUCACCUACACUACUACCAGAUGUCGCAGUUAUCCCCAGUAGUGUAGGGAGCCUAGACAACCACUAUGAGUAGUCAGACUCCAUCUUCUCAAGGAUCGAGUGCUAGAAGUAAAGGGAGGCAGGCGGCAGGUAGAGUUUUUGCCUUGACCCCAAUAAAGUUAGAGAAUGACGUCAUUUUGGUGGAAAGUAUGGUUUUGGUCCAUAGUACUUAGGUGCGUAUUUUGUUUGAUACUGGUGCAACUCAUUCUUUUAUUUCUGUAUCUUGUGCUAAUAUAUAGGGGAUGAAAACGAAAAUAGUAAAAAAUCUAUUACUUAUCGAAUNNNNNNNNNNNNNNNNNNNNNNNNNNNNNNNNNNNNNNNNNNNNNNNNNNNNNNNNNNNNNNNNNNNNNNNNNNNNNNNNNNNGGGGAUGAAAACGAAAUAGUAGAAAUCCAUUACUUAUCGAAUCCUUAUGGGUACGAAUUCUAGAGUUGAUAGAAUAUGCAAGGAGUGCAUUAUUACCUUGGUAGAUAGAGCACUUAAGGUGGAUUUGAUGAUUUUGGAUAUGACUAGGUAUGAUGUUAUCUUGGGAAUGGAUUGGUUGACAAUGUAUAAAGCACUUAUUAAUUGUCAUCAUCGUAGGAUAAUAUUUUGUCUGUCAGAUGGAUUUGAGAUUUGCUUUGUUGGGGGGAAGUGUAUUAGUUUUGCCCUUUUCGCAGUCCGAUCCAUGCUAUUAGUAUGUGUUGAGGAAGGGAUCAAUAAAUUUCCUAGCUUGUCUUUUUAGUAAGGAAAAAACCUAGAAGGACUUUACAAAAAUUCUAUUAGUGGGGAAGUUUCAAGAUGUAUUUCCAGGUGAGCUACAAGGUUUACCACCAUAUAGAGAGUUUGAUUUCUCUAUUGAAGUAUAUCCAGGAACGGAUCCUAUCUCGGCAACCCCCUAUAGGAUGGUGCCUCUUGAGUUGAAAGAGUUGAAAACUCAAUUUGAGGAAUUGUUGAGUAAAAGUUUUAUUCGUCCAAAUACAUUACCAUGGGGAGCCCCAAUGUUGUUUAUGAAGAAUAAAAAUGACACAUUAAGGUUGUGUAUUGACUAUAGGAAGUUGAAUAGAGUUACUAAGAAGAAUAAGUAUCAUCUUUCAAUGAUAGAUAAUUUGUUUGAUCAGUUGAAGGAUGCGAAGUGUUUUAGUAAGAUUGACUUGAGAAUUGGGUAUCAUCAAUUGAGUGUUAGAGAAGAAAAUGUCCCCAAGAUUGCUCUUAGAACGAGAUAUGGGCAUUAUGAAUUCUUAGUCAUGCCUUUUAGGUUAACUAAUGUCCCCGCUGCUUUCAUGGAUUUAAUGAACAUAAUAUUUUGUGCUUGCUUGGAUUAGUUUGUGAUUGUCCUUAUGGAUGACAUCUUGAUUUACUCAAGGAGUUUGGAGGAGCAUAAGUAGUAUUUGGUGACCACCCUUAGAACAUUAAGAAGACACCAAUUAUAUGGAAAGUUGGACAAAAGUGAGCUUUGGCUUACUGAAGUGAAUUUAUUAGGCCAUGUGGUUUUUGAGGCAGUAGUAGUGGACCAUUCCAAGGUGGAAAUUGUGCAAGAGUGGCAAAGGCCUACAAAUGUAUUUGAGGUUAAGAGUUUCUUGGGAUUGGUUAGAUAUUAUAGGAUGUUUUUGGAAGACUUCUCUAGAAUUGCAACACCGAUGACUCGGUUGACUAGAAAAUGAGUGAAAUUUGAAUGGAAUGAUGAGUGUGAGAAUGCUUUCCAAGAGUUGAAGUGGAAAUUGACCACUAUUCUAGUGUUAACUACUCUUACUAGUGGAAAGUUGUUUAUUAUUUAAUGUGAUGUUUUUACAGUAAGGCUAUGGUGCGUGCUAAUGCAGCAAGGCAAGGUGAUAGCUUAUGCCUCAAGGCAAUUAAAGUCGCAUCAGCGGAACUAUCCAACAAAUUAUUUGAAGCUUGCAGUAGUGGUGUUUGCCCUUAAGACUUGGAGACACUAUUUGUAUUGAGAGAAGUUUGAGGUGUACUUUGAUCAUAAGAGUUUGAAAUACAUCUUCACUCAAAAGGAUUUGAACUCUAGUCAAAGAAGAUGGAUGGAGACAUUGGAAGAUUAUGAUUUUGCUCUUCAUUACCAUCUUGGAAAGACGAAUAUUGUAGUAGAUGCCUUGAGUAGGAAGAACUAUGGUCAAUUGCCUAGCUUGUGGUUGAGAGAGUUUGAGCUGCAUGCAGUUAUUAAAGAUUUUGAGCUAUGUCUUGGUUGGGAAGUACAGGGUCCAUGCUUGUAUAGUAUAUCGGCUAGACCAUUCAUUAUCCAAAUAAUAGUGGAGACCCAAUUUCAUGAUGAGCUUUUAGAAAAAGUUAAAGCCCAAUUGGUAGAAGGUGAAGCAAAUGAAAAUUGGUCUAUACAUGUAGAUAGGAGUGUGAGAUUUAAAGGAAUAUUGUGUGUGCCAAAGGAUGUAGAGUUGAGGAAUGAACUUCUAGUAGAUGCUGAUAAGGCAAAGUAUACCAUCCACCCUGAGAGUGCCAAAAUGUAUCAAGACUUAAAGAGAUAAUUUUUGUGGAGUGGGAUGAAAUGAGACAUUGCUCAAUAUGUAGCCAAUUGUUAGCAAGUGAAAGAUGAAUACCAAAAGCUUACGAGAUUGUUGCCAAUUUUACCUACACUUGAGUGGAAGUGGGAUCAUAUCACUGUGGAAUUUGUGAUAGGGUUGCUAAGAAUUAGAAGAAAAAAAAUGGAGUUUGGGUGAUUGUGGACUAUCUUACUAAGUCAACUCAUUUUCUAGCCAUGAAGACUUGACUCCAUGAACUCUCUCGUUAAGUUGUAUAUAUAGGAGAUUGUGAGGUUGCAUGGGAUACCUUUGUUUAUAGUGUCUGACAAGGACCUUAAGUUUACUUCUCAAUUUUGGCAGAGUUUACAAAGGGUUAUGAGCACCCAAUUGAAUUUUAGCAUCGCUUUUCACCCUCAAACAGAUGGUUAGUUAGAAAAAGUAAUCCAAAUUUUAGAAGACAUGUUGAGGGCUUAUGUUUUGGACUUUGGAGGGAAUUGGGUAGAGUUCGCUUAUAACAAUAGUUACCAAUCUAGUAUUGGCAUAGCACCUUAUGAAGCACUCUAUGAGAGACCUUGUAGAUCACCCUUGUGUUGAAUAGAGUUGGGUAAUUAAGAGUCGUUUGUUGGGACCUGAGAUUGUCUAAGAGACUAUGAAAAAAAUACAACUCAUCAAGAAAAAACUUAAGAUCACUCAAGAUAGAUAGAAAAACUAUGCAAACCAAAGGAGAAGGGCUUUGGAGUUUGGGGAAAAGGAUUGGGUUUUUAUUAAGGUGUCCCCGUAAUCAAAGUGUGAUGACAACACCAUGGGAUUGAAGAAGCCACUUGGGAUCAUGAAGAAGAAAUUAGGCAACAUUAUUCGCAACUGUUCUUUAAUUUUUGAGGUAAACUCGUUUAAAUUUUGAGACAAAAUUUCUUUCAGGGGGGUAGGAUGUAAUGAUUGAGUAUUUUAAGCCAAGUUGGAAUUUCAAGUUUGAAAAUUCUUCCUUUUUGGUGGUGGUUGAAAAGUCAAAAAGUAGUUGGAAAAUACGUGUCAAUUUUGGAUUGAUGGAAUUUGAAAGAUUUUAUUGGUCAAUCAAGCGAGUUGAAUUUUCGUGCCACGUUAGCUUUUUAGCAGGAAAUUUCUUAGGAUUGUAGAAAUCAAAUUUUUUUCCCGAAAAUCAAAAAGCGAAAACAAAAAUAAAAUAAAUAAAUAAAUUUUAAAAAUUAAAAUAUUUGUGUGGUGUGUGAUAAUUUAUUUUGUGUGUUGUAAAAGAAUGAAUUAAGAAAAGAAAAUGAAUUGAAUUAAGGAAAAAAAAAACUAAAUUAAUAUAAUAUAAUAUAUAUAUAUACAUAUAUUGUUUUUGGAUUGGGCUGUCACCACCUUUAGUGGCUCGUUUAAAUAGAAAAGAAAAAGAACGAAGAAAGUAGAAAAUGAAGGAAAACUUAUAGAAGAGUCUUGGUGACUGCAGUGGAAAAAAAAAAAAACUACUUUUCGAUUGGUUGUUUCAAUGGCCAAACAUCAUCCUUUUCACGUGAAAUUUUAAGGGAAUACUUUACUCGACACGAGGAACAUUCAUACAGUGUUGGAUUUUGUUUUCAACGAUUGGAUCAUUAGAUCUGUGGUAGACGGUUUUAACACUAAAACUUUAAUUAAAUGCCCUUUUCUUAACAAAAAUUAUUGUUUUUGUUGUUAGAAGCUAAAUAAACAAUAUUUGUGAUACGAGGAAUUUUAUUGGAUGAUUUGGGAAUUUUUUUAGAAAUUUUGUGAUGACGAUAUUUUUUUUAUGGUUGUUAAAUGAUUGUGCUUGGGUUAUUAAAAUUAAUGGGAUCAUUGAGGAUAAAUGAAAUUAUGGUAGAAAUUAUGUUGGAUUGAUAUUGGGUAUAUUGAGAACUAAUUGAGAUGUUUUUGGUAAUUUAAUUGUGAAAAUAAUUGUAUUUGGUUAUUGAAAUUAUUGGGAUUGUUGACAAUAAAAGAAAUUUUAGUAUACAUUGUAAUUUUAUUGAUGUUUGGAUUAGUGAGAAUUUUGUAUGACAUUUGUAGAUGAUGAUAUGUAAUUUCAUUGCAUUUCAUAUGCAUCAUGGUUGUGUGAAGGAAAAUAAAAAUUUGUUGUAAGGUUGUAUGAAAUAAAAAAGAAAGAAAAAUAAAAUAAUGAUGAAAAGUAAAGGCCCGUGAAAGGUGAAUUAAGAAGGGAGUGAGAUCCUUAGGGUGAAAGACCAAAAAUUUACCCCGGGAAUACUCUAAACUGGGAGUGUAUUUAGGUACAGACAUGUUUUCUUUAUUGAAAGCUCGAGAACGACAAUACUUUUUAUGACUGUGUGUUACAUAUCCACAUGCAUUUUAUUAAUUGUUGAAAAUUGCUGAAUUGCUAUAAUUAUAGAAACUAAAAUGUUUGGGUUGGUUAAAUUAUGGUAGAAUGUUUAUUUUUUUGUAUACUUGAACCUUAGUAAUCCCAAAUUAACCUUUCCUUGGGUGUAAAGCACUCUACUGAGUAAUGUGAAAUGCUCAUCAUUUCCUUCUUAUAUAUAUUUAAAUGUAGAUGUGAUUCAUGAGGAUCCACAAAUGGGACAAGGAGGGCUUUAAGACGCCUCAGAAGAUUUUGGAGCAGCAUAAUGAAUUGUAGUGUAGUUGUUAUGUUGGUUUAUUUUGGAACUUGUAUUAACAAAUUUUGAAAUUAUAUAUUUGUAUUGAGACUUUAUUUUGAUUAAUUUGCUUAUAUUGUGGACUUUCAUUUUAGACUUGAGUUGGAGAUUACAUUGUUAUUGAAUUUCUUUGUUGCUCUUAAGUAAUGAUUGUUAUAUUGAUAAAUUGGAAUGUUAGUUAAAGGAAGUUCUAGUGUGAUUUAUAUUUAAAAAAAGAAAAAGAAAAUUCAAAGCGUUUUAGUUUACUGUUAGCUUGGAUUAGGAGGAACCCUUAGGAUCAAAUCUUUGACUUUGGAUCAUGGGCCAAAUUUUGAGUCGCCCAAAAUUCGGGUCGUGACAGCUCUAAGUCCUCAACUAUGUACUUCAAAGAAUAAGGAAGAGAAAAAGAGAGUAUCCUAAUUUUAUGGGGUAAUGACGUCAAGGGUAUUUGCUUUUCUCAUUUGAUUUGUCAUUGUCUAUUUAAAAUAAAUUCUUUUCUAUGAUAUAGGGCUUGAUCGUGGUUUGGUUGAAUCAUCAACACUACAAGCGUACGUGUAACAUGGGAUUGCAACACUAGAAUGGGCUGCAUGCCUUAAUCCCUAUGCUGACUGUGUGAGGGUGCCUUAGUCCAUAUGUUGACGACGAGGGAUAUACAUACCUUAUAAUCAUUGUGGUCUCAAUGUCAUAUAUAUUUGUGGAUCGUUUUAAAGCAAUCCAUUUAUAUAUAUAUAUAUAUAUAUAUAUAUAUAUAUAUAUAUAUAUAUAUAUAUUUCAGAUUUUCCAAAAUAUCAAUGUGAAAAAUCUAGUUGGCUUUUUACAACACAAGAUUGCUUUAUAUAAAUCUUAAGGUAUGACAUUAAGACUAACAUGCCGAGAAAUGUAUAUUUUAGCAAAUGACAUGUUAAGACAUGCAUGUCAUUAAGUUGUAUUUAUAAAAAUUGAUCUACCUAUAAAUAAAUAAAGGAGUGAAUAAAAAAAAAAAUUUGAUCAUCUCCACGUUUUUCUUUUUUAAAUUUUCAUUACCUACAAAUGGGAAUAAAAAAAUACAAAAAGACGUUCCUUGAGAUUUUUAAAAUUUGGUUGAAUAUAGGAUUCCCAUUAGGAUUCUGACAAACCAAACAUAUGUUAAAGACAACUACACUUUCAUCGUCUAGAUUUAAUAAUAUGUUUGACAAUAAAACGUCGUGUCACAAAGGGGGAAUCUACACAAAUUGGAUGGAUACUUGAUCAUGGAAAGCUUAUUUUAGUGAGGCUUACAUGCACGUUCUGAAAUAUAAGAGUAAUAAAAUAAGCAAGGCAACAGUAGAUAAACGUGACCAAUGAAGCAGCCGCCAUGUUGACUGUUGGAUGAAGCAGCUUGCCCUGUUGAAUGUUGGUCAUCCACGCUUAGUCAUGAAAACCGUGACAUUUACGAAUUCAGUCUUCUCUCUGGUCAUGCGAUCAGCAACAAUCUUUUUGUACCUGCCGAACACUUCCUCUAUUAUUCCGUCACCGAAGUGGCUUACAAGCAAUGGCUCUGCAACUGCUCUCAUCAACUUGGCCACGUUGUAUCCACCAUCUUUAUGAGCAUCUGAUGGGCAGAAUUCACCGUGGUACGCAUUCCAGUUCACUUCAGAAACCUCCAGCCGAUUUAUGGUGUAGGAUCCUUCCUUUUCAACCUCACAUUUUACUUCAGCUGGGGAAGGUGUAUAUUGAGGAAUAUUGAAGGAAUCCAUCUUCUCCUCAUCUAUGAGCCCCUGCAUUUAAAAAUGGUUAAUUAAUUUACAUGCAAUUUCAUAUAUAGUUACCACACAGGUGCUGUUGCUGAAUGAUUUGAUCUAUACAAAUUGGCAACAUUAAGGGAUGAAAGAAUUAAAACUGUACCUCUGAAACCAUAUCAUUGAGAGCCACAGCUAAGAGCUCCCAGAUAUAGCAACAUUCUUUGCUAGAGGGAUCUUCACUUCUUCUUCCUAAAAAUGUUAAAACCACAGUCCCUCCUCCUAGUAGUUCCUCCGACCGACACCUGAGAAACAUGGAGAAAUCGCCUUGGAAUUGCUCAUAGUAUGCUUUAAGCACGCUUGGUGGGCUCCAACUGGCCAUGUAAAUAUUCCCUUUGUUACUCUCCAGCCCUCGAGGAACCUGACGAACAAUUGAAAUUUCUAACUCACUUGCUUUCUUUUUGGUUUCUAAUAAAUCAUCAUAAGCCAGUAUUUUUAAUUAAAAGCAAAGAGUCACCUGAGACAACCAUUGGAGACUGUAAGAAGAAUGGACAAAAUGAAGACUUUUGCUGGGGAAGAGCCUGCCGUAGAAAGAGCCUGGAACUCCGGUUACAAAACAUGAUUCAGCGCCUGCUCCCAUUGUUUUCUGAAGAUCUUUUUGGAACUUGGGCAAGGAUUUGAAAAUGGUGUUGAAAUCAUUUCCCGGCAGAUCGUUCAAAAACACUUGAAUUUCGGGCAAUUGAUGCCCCAUUUUCUUCCCCACCUUGUCCACCGUAGUGACAACUUCCAAGACUGCAAAAAAAGUGUCGGGUCAAGAAGAACAGCCCAAGUCUGCGAUGCAUAGGCUGGCCGGAAAGUUGUUGCAGUAGAGAUUUGUUAUGGCGUCCUCGAUUAUAGGCUUUGUCAGGGAUAUUACUUUUUUCUG
This 25624-nucleotide long non-coding RNA is filed under the name Vitis vinifera (wine grape). RNAcentral's name for it is "long non-coding RNA (VVIN_LNC001175)". The record is from RNAcentral. Lineage: Eukaryota; Viridiplantae; Streptophyta; Magnoliopsida; Vitales; Vitaceae.